UGGGGAAUAUUGGACAAUGGGCGAAAGCCUGAUCCAGCCAUGCCGCGUGAGUGAUGAAGGCCCUACGGUUGUAAAGCUCUUUCAACGGUGAAGAUAAUGACGGUAACCGUAGAAGAAGCCCCGGCUAACUUCGUGCCAGCAGCCGCGGUAAUACGAAGGGGGCUAGCGUUGUUCGGAAUUACUGGGCGUAAAGCGCACGUAGGCGGACAUUUAAGUCAGGGGUGAAAUCCCGGGGCUCAACCCCGGAACUGCCUUUGAUACUGGGUGUCUAGAGUCCGGAAGAGGUGAGUGGAAUUCCGAGUGUAGAGGUGAAAUUCGUAGAUAUUCGGAGGAACACCAGUGGCGAAGGCGGCUCACUGGUCCGGUACUGACGCUGAGGUGCGAAAGCGUGGGGAGCAAACA
Molecule: ribosomal RNA, 402 nt
Filed under: uncultured bacterium
Lineage: Bacteria
Description: bacterial SSU rRNA
Rfam family: Bacterial small subunit ribosomal RNA
Source: RNAcentral